AUGGAGGGGACAGAGAGGAAGGAGGGGACAGAGAGGAUGGAGGGGAAAGAGAGGAUUGCUGCUCCUAUGUCCUUGGCUUCCUGAGGGUCGCUGGGCAGUGCUUGCUUUCACGGUGGGUGUCUUUCUGCUCUGCUCUCCCUCCUUCCCUUUCUCCCCAGGAUGCUCACACAUGCACACUCACAUGUGGUCACGCACAUGGGCAUUUGCAUAUGCACACUCGUGCACGUUUGCACACAUACCUGCACACUUGAACACAACUGCAUUUGGACGCACAUGUACAUGAAACACGUGCACGCACACACAUUUGCAUGCAUAGGUAUUUGCGUACAAAUACACACCCACCCAUGUGCACACACACCCAUGCAUACACCUACACUUGUACACACCCUUGCAUCUGUCUCUGCAGUCUCCCUUCUCUCUCCGGGAGCCUUACCUGCCUCCCCUCCAUUGGAAGGGUAGGGGCCUGGCCUUGUCGCCCAUCUGUCUGCCUCCUGUCUGUCUGUCUCCCAGUGCAGGGGGGCCUCCUAAGGACCGGCUGCCAGCACCACCGCCCAGCGGAAGUCUCAGAGUGGCAGAGGCUGAGAGGAAACCGCACUCUCGCUCAGGGCGCCCGCAGCUCCUGUCCGCUGGGGGAGGAAGGGCAGCUGAGGCUGGGGAGUCGCCUGAGAGGCAGGGGCAAAUAAGCUCUAGCAGCCUCCUCACCGGGGUGCACUUUAGCCCCAGACCUCUGCCUAGCAUGGUGGGCAGCCAGUGCCCCCCCAAGGAUGGGGACCCAUGGUGAGUCUUCUCCAGGCAGCUCCUUCUUAGACACGGGUCCUGGUGUUAUCGUGUGGGUAAAGAAGGGUGGCAGGACGGUCAUUCCAGGGAGGUGCCCAGCUGGUGUCCUGGGUGAGCCCAUGGCAGGUGCCCGACUGCCUCUUCUGGAGGGCAGUGGGGCACAGGGCCAGGUGCCAGGUGGAAAGGAAGGGGCAGUGGUGGCCUGUGUCCCUGGAAUUACCUGGUCCAUUUGGCGCCCUGAACCUGCCCUGCUGGGACGCCAUGCCUGAGUCUAGGCACCACCCCCCACCUUCCAACUGUCCCUUGAUAACAGCCUCUUGCCCUGGGUGGAGAAGGAUGAUGCUUUAUGGAGACUGACUCUCCAGGCCCAGCACGGCUGCAGCAGAUGCCAUGAGGGACCCAGCAGCAGACCUGACCCUCGUCCCGCAUGGUCCUGACCUCACCUGUUGCCAUGAGGCCGGACACCUACGAUGACCCAUCUCCUGCCCCUGUUCUCAGGAGGGGAGAAGGGAGGCCCGUCUCCCAGCCAGGGGGCAGCGAGGCAGGACCUCUGGCAGCCUCAUCUCCUGAUGCUCACACCUCCACCCCAGGAGGCGGCUACAGAUUCGGAGGCAAAAAAUGGGAUUAUGACACACGGAGAGGAUGCCAGCCCCUCUGGCAGGCGCUGUGGAAAUGGCUGCUGUUGCUGGUGGCAGGAGGAAUCCUCAAUGUACCUGCAAAUCCAGACAUCCUCACAGGGGCCAAAGGCUGCGUGGGCUCUCAAGAGACAAUCGGAGUCACACUGGGGACUUUCUCCGGGUUGGUGGUGAGAUUCGAAGCAUCUUGGGCAACUUUGAUCUUCCUGAGCUUCUUUUAUGUAAACGUGCUGUGCAAACUGAAGCAGGUUGUGAGGUCCUGGCCGGACCCCAACCUCUUCCUCCCUUUGAACCACCAUAAUCACCAUCAUCUCUUACACUGGCUUUUGCCCUGAAAGUUUUAAAUCCUUCAUUUUAUUUCUUUCCAGCAAUGGCUUUGAAAAGUUGGCAGGCCAAGUGUUAUUAGCCCCACUUUACAAGGUGGGAAACUGAGACCCAAGGGUUUCAGUGGCGGGGCUGGGACUGGGACCCGGGCCCCCUCUCCCCUCUCAAGGCUCUUUGUGCAGGGCGGCUGGAUCACAUAGGUCGGCACCUCUGGCUGGGCCGUUGGCUGAGGCUGUGGGCAAGCUAUCUUGGGUGCUCAUGGCCUGAGGCCUGGUGAGGAAGGAGGGUUUUAAGUAGUAAGGGAUAAUAAGCAGGUCCCAUCCUCUCCUCCUUCUAUGCUCAGAUUCCUCAAUCAACAAGCUUCUAAGCAGCAUCUCUACUCCCUGCACACAUGCAGGUGCACACACACACGUGCACCUCUUCAUGCUUUUAUCCCUCUUGGUUGGGGGGUCCAUCCCCACCAUGCCAUUAAGUGUGUUCUGGCAAAGUCUCUGAUGAUACUUUUAAAAAAACCUCCUGAAUCUAUGAGUUGACUGGGCUCAGCUGGGAGGUUCUUCCGCCUGGGGCUGUAGUCAUGUAUAAACUUGACUAGACCAGAGCCCCCAAGAUGUCUCACGCACGUGACUGGCAUUUGAUUCUGAUUUUGGGCUGCUCACUCGGCUGGGGCUGUUGAUGGCAAGGCUAUGCGUGUCCCAGGCUGGGCUUCUCACGGCCUGGCGACCUGGUUCUGCCAGGGAGUGCCCCAAGAGACGUCAUUUUAAGAAAGAGGAAGUGGAAGCUGUCAGUCUUCUUAAAGACUAGACCCAGACCUGACACAGCAGCUAUGGGAGGUCUGAUGACAUCUUAAGUACCAAAUCCAGUGGACCACUGAGGCCUCAUCUAAAUGCACGUCUCUGGCCACAUGACUUGGCUGCCCUCCGUUCACCCUUGACCUCCAAGGCAUUCCUCUCGCUUGGUCCUUCCCCUCCUCUCCAUUUCCUUCCAGGAUCCUCUGAUGAUUUCUCUUCCCCAGGGUCCUUCUUGCUUGUUUCACCCUUGACCCUUUUCUCUCUCCACCCUCCACAUUGUCCUGGAGAUCUCAUCCAGCCCCGUGAUGCUGAUGCCUCAUUUGGACCUCGAAUCUCCAGCCCACACCUGAGAGCUAGCCCUGGGUCUCCAACCCUCUCCCACACAUUCCUGCCCACAGGCAGAAUUAAGAAUUCCAAAGUGCAUCCGCAUGAUCCCAGCCAGAGAGGAAGGGGUCAUCUUUUCCCCCAGAUUCGUCUCUCCCCACGUGGUCUCCAACUCAGGGAGCGGCACCACUUCAUCCCGCCCCCCCCAACCAGCCUUCCGACCCCAACCAGGGCUCCCACAGCAUUCCUGGAUGAUGGAACAGGCGCUGCUUGAUAAUCAGGAAAGAAAAACAGCCAGAAGUCAUUUUAAAAAAUAAAAGGCAGGAACGUCCAUGUCUCAAGGAUUUUUGUUUCUUUAGAGGGAAAGCAGAUAGAUGGUUUUUUAAACCAGAGAUCUGGGAGCAGCCCCAGCUUAAUUGGAAAACCUCAUUCAAACAGGCUGGAGGGACCUCAGGAAUGGCAAACAGCUCCUCCCCGCUCAGAGGAAUUUCCUGGAAACCUUAAUGGCUGCUCUUCCCAACCACAGGCUGGUCUUUCUGGCAGAAUUAGCGCAAUCGUGUGGUCAGGGUGGCCAGGCUGGAGCCAGCCUGGAUGCUUCUGUAGCCUGGGCUCCCUCAGGACCAACAAGUGGGGGCCGGGGGCCGGGGGAGCGUGUGGCGCCCAGGAGCUGAGGGUCACGUAGGGAACUGCUGUGCGGUCAGGACCUGCCGGCGGGCUGCUCUUGGCCUGAGCUAGGAAUAGCGCCCAGACCCCUCAGCAGUUCCCUGCCUCCCCAGGAGCAGAGGGGCAGGGGGAAGUGCAGGGGGAGAGAAAGGGUUGGCGAUUGCUGAGUGCUGGCUCUAUGUGGAGCAGUUCCCUGUUCCUUUUCCUAAGGGACGGUUGGUUACCACCUCCAUUUUUCUUAAGAGGAAACUGGCUCAGGGAGGUUAAGAACGUGCCUGUGAUGUCACAGAGGAAGUGCUGGGAUCCCACCAGGUCUGUCUGACUCCAGCCCAGCCCUAGGUGCUGCUUGUCUGGUGCUGAGGGUCCAGCCCUCUGAUGGGGAGAGGCAGGGCGACCCGGACCUCUGAGGGUGGGCCCAGCAGCACAGGGUCCAGGAUGGGGCUCAGCAAUGUCAGCACAGGGAUGUCCUCAACCAGCGUGGCUGGGCUGAGCUGGGUCUCCCCAUAACAUGGUGCCUCCCCUCCUCCCGACCUGUUCUCAGACAACGGGCCAGUACAGAACACCCUUCCGCUACUAAGGCCAGGGGCGGGUGAGUAAAGGAGGGGACAGGCUCUGGAUCCAUCCAUAGUGAUGGGGACAGGCAGAGAGGCGGUUGCCUCCUCCUUAGCAGGGCUGGGAGGGUUUUAGAGGCUGGUUGGGUCUUUCUGGGUACUCUGCUGGAGCUUUAGGGGUGGAAUGACCUGUUCUGGGUAUUUCAUAGGAAUGCAGCCUUUGGAGGGUACAACCUCAUGAACCGUAGGUCAGGGGCUUCUUGGGAUGUCAGAACAAUCAAGUAUGACUGAGUCACUUAUGAUUUUUCCCUAUUGGUGUAGUUAUUUUAUUUAAGAAUGUCUGCUUACAAGGUAGAAGCAAAAAUCACACACAGAUGGGAGCAAAAUUUGCAGAAAUACAACAUGAGUAAUUAAAAAAAUUUUUGUGUGUGUGUGUGUGUGUCUCUCAAAGAUAAAGUCCCUUUAAAAAACCGUGACCACAAUCCGUGGUCACACCAGGCAGGCCUUUAAUGCUGAAAUUCCACUGUUUAGUUACAGAUGGCUCUGACUUCCUGUUUGACCCACGAGGGGUGGAAGGUUGUAGAAAUAGCAAUUUAGAGCAACACCUCCUUGCGUACUUAGCAUAUGCCAGGACCUGGAUGAAAUACUUUCCUUGUGUUAAUCCCUUUGAACCUCCCAACACAACUACUACAUAGGCACUGAUACUGUACCCAUUUUAAGGAUGGAGAAACCGAGGCACAGAGAAGUUAAGUUACGUCUCCAGAGCAGCACAGUGUGGUAUUCCUGGCUGGCGCAGAGCAAGUGAGGGUGGGGCAGCAGGAGAGAAACGGGUCCAGGUUGGCCUCUCUAUUCCAGGCAUUCCAGGUGGAUUUCCUGGGAUGACCAUGAAGCCCUGAGAGGCAUCCAGCAAGGAGUUCACCUGUCGCCGGGUUUAAUAAAGCUUAUGCCAGAUAUUUUUAUGUGCUUUUCUUAAAGAGUCCCUGCAUAUGUAUAAGCUUCAAGUGUCCCAAAUCCUGGAUCUUCCCCUUCCAAACUCAGCUGUUUAAGAAUAAGCAGCCUAACCCUCCUUGGGCAAGGGUCUGAUAAGCAGGCCAGGGGGCCUCUUCAUUUCCGCUUCACCCAGGGGGCUCCUGAGCCCACUGGCCGAAGGCGCAGGCCUGCAUAUCGUCCUGCCUUCUGAGCUGGUGAGAGGUGGUGCUGAGGCCUCCUCACUUGCAGGCAGGCAAUGGGGUCUUGCUCUCGGUGUUCCUUAUUUUAUACCUCAUGGUGGCCCCAGUCCUGUGAGAUGCCACUGGGGCUUAUUUUCUCCAUGCUUCUUCUAGAUGUGGAAAAUCACUCAUUCAUUUAUUCAACAAAGGUGUGCCAGUGCCCACCAAGUUCCUGGCGUGCAGCCAAGCGGGAGGGACAGUACGGUGAGCAAGGGACAUACACCCACACCUUCAGGAGCUCUCACUCUAUGGGGGAAUUAAGCAGCGUGGGAAGUACGUGAAGAAGAAGGAGGUACAGGAUCCUGGG
Delphinapterus leucas (beluga whale) is the source of this 5577-nucleotide non-coding RNA. The record is from RefSeq and is a predicted model, not a curated record. Lineage: Eukaryota; Metazoa; Chordata; Mammalia; Artiodactyla; Monodontidae.